GUGACAGCAGCAUUGUGAGGGGCUCGGUCCUGGUCGAGAUCGUUGACCGCGAAUGCCCCGGACCCGGUCCUGCUAUUUUCAGUUGGUUUUGGCACGCGAGGACCAGGGUAAUGAUUAAUAGGGAUAGUUGGGGGCAUUAAUAUUUAAUUGUCAGAGGUGAAAUUCUUGGAUUUAUGAAAGAUUAACUUCUGCGAAAGCAUCUGCCAAGGAUGUUUUCAUUAAUCAAGAACGAAAGUUAGGGGAUCGAAGACGAUCAGAUACCGUCGUAGUCUUAACCAUAAACGAUGCCGACCAGCGAUUAGGAGACGUUGAAUACAAAACACCACCAUCGGUGCGGUCGUCCUUGGCGCGUCGUGGCUUGCUGCGGCGUGCGAGGGCGUUUAGCCUGAUGGCAUCGGUGAAUGACUCCCUAGCAGCUUGUGAGAA
This 426-nucleotide ribosomal RNA is filed under the name Acanthamoeba genotype T11. RNAcentral describes it as "SSU rRNA". It matches the Rfam family "Eukaryotic small subunit ribosomal RNA", at positions 819 to 1096 of the family's 1831-position model. Lineage: Eukaryota; Discosea; Longamoebia; Acanthamoebidae. The record is from RNAcentral.